RNAcentral lists this long non-coding RNA (680 nucleotides) under Bemisia tabaci. Its description in RNAcentral is "lncRNA ENSSSA1NGG005678". The record is from RNAcentral. Lineage: Eukaryota; Metazoa; Arthropoda; Insecta; Hemiptera; Aleyrodidae.
GAUGGAUGGAGCGCUUGUAGUCUUUGGCGAGACAGGAAACAAUGGGCGGCCAUUGGGUGGCGGGAGAAAGCGGGACUCGGGGGGAGUCGGCCCCGGUGUAGAUAUACCCGAGUAUAAAGCGUGAGUCGGUCAGUUUGAUAAGCGUCUUCGAUUGGUGUUGUUACAAGUGAUUUUGGUUUAUUCCGCUUACGAUGGCGUUCAAGUUGGCAUGCCUGGUUGCCAUCACAACACUGGUGGCGACGUGUUGGGCCUCUGAGGGAGUGCAGUCGCAGGACUACGAGGCGUACCAGCCGUACUACCAAGCUUACCAGGACCAGAGCCAAGGCUACCAGGACUAUGACGCCAGAGAGUCCCAGUCGGCUAAAAGAAGUGUUGAGCCUGCUCCGGCCACCGCCUACCAUGCAGAUGCUGCUUACGCACCAUACGCGGCAGCCACCUACCCAGUUGCCAACGUAGUCGGCGUACAGCACACAGUUGAAGUCUCGAAACCGGUCCCAGUGCCCGUCUACAAGACGGUGGCCGUGCCGGUUCCCCAACCCGUCCCCGUCCAUGUGCCUCAUCCGUUCCCGUUCAUGUUCCUCACCCCGUUGCCGUCCACGUUCCCCAACCGGUUCCAGUGCAUGUUCCCGUUGAAGUACCAGUCGUCAACAUGUGAGUCUUGUCAACCCGAUCGGGGUUGA